Molecule: non-coding RNA, 74 nt
Organism: Parelaphostrongylus tenuis
Lineage: Eukaryota; Metazoa; Nematoda; Chromadorea; Rhabditida; Metastrongylidae
Source: the annotation of a GenBank genome assembly
GCCUCAGUGGUGUUAGUGGUAGAGCACGCGUCCCCGGAUAGGAUGAAAUGUGGGUUCGAUUCCCGUCUGAGGUC